AGCUUAUUAUUCAGCCGUCACCCUCUUACUUCAUUCCAGUAGCCGCCACCAUGGGAACCUCCUCAGUCGCCGUUUGCAUCAUCAAAAGCCGACAACCACCGUCAUGCCUGCUGACUCGUCGAUGAAACGCCACCACCAUUGCUCAGCUGACGGAGGCGCUGUGUGCACCGGGGAACCACCGAGACCGAAGGACCAAGUUGCGUUCGUUGUUGUCUUGGACGUGAGAGCAUAGGUAUCUCAUGGCUUUGGCCGCCAUUUUUUUAGGGUUUCCAGUCAUCGUGGGCCACCUAUAGUGGCGGAGUUGGGAGAGUUGUAGCCUUCAGAUCAUGUUUCGGGUGUGGUCGCAUGACUGAGAAUCAAGAGAACAGUCGCCACCACCGUGAGGUGGUGGCUAUCACCGCAACCACCGCCGUUUUGGGUGCUGCUGCCGUCGCCAGUCACCAUAGGUGGGUGAUUUGGGUUCGUUUUUCAAGCAAGGGAUGAGUAUUCGUGUUUUAUGGGUUGUGUAGUCGGAGAAUGGAGAAGAGAACCACCAUGGCCGCCAGCCAUGGUGGUUGCCGCCAUGAACCACCAUUGUGUGUGUUUAUGUUUUUAGUGUGUGUAUUUUAGUGUAUGUGUGUGUGGAUAAAUUCGGUAUUUCACAUUGUAAAAAAAAGGGAAUAAUGAAAAGAACUUGAAAACCACCACCUUAGGGUGGUGGCUGCCGCCGCCGGCCGCCGUGUCGGGUAGCAAUGUGCCUUGUCUUGA
Non-coding RNA from Lactuca sativa (garden lettuce), 747 nucleotides. The record is from RefSeq and is a predicted model, not a curated record. Lineage: Eukaryota; Viridiplantae; Streptophyta; Magnoliopsida; Asterales; Asteraceae.